AGGCAGCCACUUAUGUGGUAUAAAGUGAGUAUUUUAAACUUAAAUUUAGAGAUGCUUUGGUAAUUGAUAAUAAGAUUAAAAAAAUGUGUUGCUUGGUAUUGCAUCAACAAGUAUAUUUUUAAGAGAAAGCGUGUUUUCCUAGAAAAAUUUGCCAGGAAAGUUUUUAAAACAUUCAAUCCUUUUUUUCUUUUUAUCUUCAUUUUUUGGUUGCUGUUAACCAAGAAGCAUGCUUGUUCUUCCUGCUUUCAAGCCUCGAAUGAGUUGUGGCUCCUAUAACUUGCUUUGUUUUAAAUAAACAUAUCCAAUGAAGGCGGCAUAUUUCUAAUCAGCAAAUUAGAGCAUGGUUCCAAGCAUAUUUUUUACCAUCUGAUUUCGGAGCUGCUGAGUCUAGAACUAACAUUCUUGUGUCACAUUUCUAGACCACUUUCAAUGCUCCAGCUGGA
This 443-nucleotide unclassified non-coding RNA is filed under the name Hevea brasiliensis (rubber tree). The record is from RNAcentral. Lineage: Eukaryota; Viridiplantae; Streptophyta; Magnoliopsida; Malpighiales; Euphorbiaceae.